Molecule: ribosomal RNA, 484 nt
Filed under: uncultured bacterium
Lineage: Bacteria
Description: partial 16S ribosomal RNA
Rfam family: Bacterial small subunit ribosomal RNA
Source: RNAcentral
AGUGAACGCUGGCGGCAGGCCUAACACAUGCAAGUCGAGCGGCAGCGCGGGAGCAACCCUCUCUGCGAGCGGCGGACGGGUGAGGAAUUCGUCGGAAUCUGCCUAUUUGUGGGGUAUAACGUAGGGAAACUUACGCUAAUACCGCAUACCUCCUACGGGCGUACGGGGGAGACCACAAGGCCUCACGCCGUAAGGUGAGCCGAUGACCGAUUAGCUAGUUGGUGGGGUAAAGGCCCACCAAGGCGACGAUCCGUAGCUGGUCUGAGAGGAUGAACAGCCACACUGGAACUGAGACACGGUCCAGACUCCUACGGGAGGCAGCAGUGGGGAAUAUUGGACAAUGGGCGCAAGCCUGAUCCAGCCAUGCCGCGUGUGUGAAGAAGGCCUUCGGGUUGUAAAGCCCUUUUGUCCGGAAAGAAAACCCGGGGGCUAAUACCCUCGUGUGAUGACGGUACCGAAAGAAUAAGCACCGGCUAACUUCGUG